This 640-nucleotide ribosomal RNA is filed under the name uncultured bacterium. RNAcentral's name for it is "bacterial SSU rRNA". The stretch from base 1 to 543 matches the Rfam family "Bacterial small subunit ribosomal RNA", at positions 338 to 873 of the family's 1533-position model. The record is from RNAcentral.
CCUACGGGAGGCAGCAGUGGGGAAUUUUGGACAAUGGGCGAAAGCCUGAUCCAGCAAUGCCGCGUGCAGGACGAAGGCCUUCGGGUUGUAAACUGCUUUUGUACGGAACGAAACGGUCUCCUCUAAUACGGGGGGCUAAUGACGGUACCGUAAGAAUAAGCACCGGCUAACUACGUGCCAGCAGCCGCGGUAAUACGUAGGGUGCGAGCGUUAAUCGGAAUUACUGGGCGUAAAGCGUGCGCAGGCGGUUAUAUAAGACAGAUGCGAAAUCCCCGGGCUCAACCUGGGACCUGCAUUUGUGACUGUAUAGCUAGAGUACGGUAGAGGGGGAUGGAAUUCCGCGUGUAGCAGUGAAAUGCGUAGAUAUGCGGAGGAACACCGAUGGCGAAGGCAAUCCCCCUGGACCUGUACUGACGCUCAUGCACGAAAGCGUGGGGAGCAAACAGGAUUAGAUACCCUGGUAGUCCACGCCCUAAACGAUGUCAACUGGUUGUUGGGUCUUCACUGACUCAGUAACGAAGCUAACGCGUGAAGUUGACCGCCGUCGGGUAGGUACGGCCGGCCGACGGUUAGGUAAACGUACGAAGUAGUAGUAGUACGGCGUGAGACGUACGACGACGACGACGACGGAGGGAGGAGG